Molecule: ribosomal RNA, 253 nt
Filed under: uncultured bacterium
Lineage: Bacteria
Description: partial 16S ribosomal RNA
Rfam family: Bacterial small subunit ribosomal RNA
Source: RNAcentral
UACAGAGGUCCCAAGCGUUGUUCGGAUUCACUGGGCGUAAAGGGUGCGUAGGCGGUUGGGUAAGUUUGACGUGAAAUCUCCGAGCCUAACUCGGAAACUGCGUUGAAUACUAUCCAACUUGAGGAAUGGAGGGGAGACUGGAAUACUUGGUGUAGCAGUGAAAUGCGUAGAUAUCAAGUGGAACACCAGUGGCGAAGGCGAGUCUCUAGACAUUUCCUGACGCUGAGGCACGAAAGCCAGGGGAGCAAACGGG